RNAcentral lists this ribosomal RNA (490 nucleotides) under uncultured bacterium. RNAcentral's name for it is "partial 16S ribosomal RNA". It matches the Rfam family "Bacterial small subunit ribosomal RNA", at positions 30 to 507 of the family's 1533-position model. The record is from RNAcentral.
AUUGAACGCUGGCGGCAGGCCUAACACAUGCCAGUCGAACGGUAACAGGAAGCAGCUUGCUGCUUCGCUGACGAGUGGCGGACGGGUGAGUAAUGUCUGGGAAGCUGCCUGAUGGAGGGGGAUAACUACUGGAAACGGUAGCUAAUACCGCAUAAUGUCGCAAGACCAAAGAGGGGGACCUUCGGGCCUCUUGCCAUCGGAUGUGCCCAGAUGGGAUUAGCUUGUUGGUGGGGUAACGGCUCACCAAGGCGACGAUCCCUAGCUGGUCUGAGAGGAUGACCAGCCACACUGGAACUGAGACACGGUCCAGACUCCUACGGGAGGCAGCAGUGGGGAAUAUUGCACAAUGGGCGCAAGCCUGAUGCAGCCAUGCCGCGUGUAUGAAGAAGGCCUUCGGGUUGUAAAGUACUUUCAGCGAGGAGGAAGGGAGUAAAGUUAAUACCUUUGCUCAUUGACGUUACCCGCAGAAGAAGCACCGGCUAACUCCGUG